This 256-nucleotide long non-coding RNA is filed under the name Phoenix dactylifera (date palm). Its description in RNAcentral is "long non-coding RNA (PDAC_LNC007336)". Lineage: Eukaryota; Viridiplantae; Streptophyta; Magnoliopsida; Arecales; Arecaceae. The record is from RNAcentral.
CAGAGUGCGAGUACCAGAGUUAUUAGUUAGUUAGUUUGUUUAUCCUUCUUUGAUGUCGAUGAACAUUUGAAGAUCUUGUAAUUGAACUAAUUUGUUUAUUUGGAUAUGUCGGACUUGUCUAAUUGAAUUAUUAAAUUAAUCAUGGAUUUAUUGGAAUUUUGUUAAACAUAGGCCUUGCAUGAUCUUUAGGGCACUGCUCUAGGGCUCAUGCGGUCGGUCGCGUACCGGACCCGGGUGUUGGGUUCGGGGCGUGACA